Molecule: ribosomal RNA, 496 nt
Filed under: uncultured bacterium
Lineage: Bacteria
Description: bacterial SSU rRNA
Rfam family: Bacterial small subunit ribosomal RNA
Source: RNAcentral
ACUCCUACGGGAGGCAGCAGUGGGGAAUAUUGCACAAUGGGCGCAAGCCUGAUGCAGCCAUGCCGCGUGUAUGAAGAAGGCUUCGGUUGUGAAUGUAACUUUACAGUCAGUGAGGAAGGAGUGGGGUAUGUUAAUAGCAUAUUCAUUUGACGUUAGCUGCAGAAGAAGCACCGGCUAACUCCGUGCCAGCAGCCGCGGUAAUACGGAGGGUGCGAGCGUUAAUCGGAAUUACUGGGCGUAAAGCGCAUGCAGGUGGUUUGUUAAGUCAGAUGUGAAAGCCCGGGGCUCAACCUCGGAAUUGCAUUUGAAACUGGCAAAACUAGAGUACUGUAGAGGGGGUGAGAAUUGAUCAGGUGUAGCGGUGAAAUGCGUAGAGAUCUGAAGGAAUACCGGUGGCGAAGGCGGCCCCCUGGACAGAUACUGACACUCAGAUGCGAAAGCGUGGGGAGCAAACAGGAUUAGAUACCCUGGUAGGAUAGCGUAGUCGUGGGGGCAA